Molecule: ribosomal RNA, 295 nt
Filed under: Klebsiella pneumoniae
Lineage: Bacteria; Pseudomonadati; Pseudomonadota; Gammaproteobacteria; Enterobacterales; Enterobacteriaceae
Description: partial 16S ribosomal RNA
Rfam family: Bacterial small subunit ribosomal RNA
Source: RNAcentral
AAAUUGAAGAGUUUGAUCAUGGCUCAGAUUGAACGCUGGCGGCAGGCCUAACACAUGCAAGUCGAGCGGUAGCACAGAGAGCUUGCUCUCGGGUGACGAGCGGCGGACGGGUGAGUAAUGUCUGGGAAACUGCCUGAUGGAGGGGGAUAACUACUGGAAACGGUAGCUAAUACCGCAUAACGUCGCAAGACCAAAGUGGGGGACCUUCGGGCCUCAUGCCAUCAGAUGUGCCCAGAUGGGAUUAGCUAGUAGGUGGGGUAACGGCUCACCUAGGCGACGAUCCCUAGCUGGUCUG